UGUUCCUUUAAAUUAACCCCGUGAGGUUAAAAAGGUUAUAUACAGCAGAAUAUAUUGUUGUUUUGUCAUGCCUUUUUUCCUCAUGGAAAAAAGGCUUUUAUAU
Regulatory RNA element from Thermotalea metallivorans, 103 nucleotides. It matches the Rfam family "PyrR binding site". Rfam says of the family: This family represents the PyrR binding site and terminator structure. This RNA structure is found upstream of a variety of genes involved in pyrimidine biosynthesis and transport. The record is from Rfam. Lineage: Bacteria; Bacillati; Bacillota; Clostridia; Peptostreptococcales; Thermotaleaceae.